This 56-nucleotide transfer RNA is filed under the name Camelus bactrianus (Bactrian camel). It matches the Rfam family "tRNA", at positions 9 to 63 of the family's 71-position model. Rfam says of the family: Transfer RNA (tRNA) molecules are approximately 80 nucleotides in length. Their secondary structure includes four short double-helical elements and three loops (D, anti-codon, and T loops). Further hydrogen bonds mediate the characteristic L-shaped molecular structure. tRNAs have two regions of fundamental functional importance: the anti-codon, which is responsible for specific mRNA codon recognition, and the 3' end, to which the tRNAs corresponding amino acid is attached (by aminoacyl-tRNA synthetases). tRNAs cope with the degeneracy of the genetic code in two manners: having more than one tRNA (with a specific anti-codon) for a particular amino acid; and 'wobble' base-pairing, i.e. permitting non-standard base-pairing at the 3rd anti-codon position. Lineage: Eukaryota; Metazoa; Chordata; Mammalia; Artiodactyla; Camelidae. RNAcentral also lists the same sequence under 2 other names. The record is from Rfam by way of RNAcentral.
AGCUCAGUGGUAGAGCACAUGCCUAACAUGCACGAGGUCCUGGGUUCAAUCCCCAG